RNAcentral lists this long non-coding RNA (4777 nucleotides) under Marmota monax (woodchuck). The record is from RNAcentral. Lineage: Eukaryota; Metazoa; Chordata; Mammalia; Rodentia; Sciuridae.
GUCUCACUGAGUUGCUUAGGGCCUCGCUAAGUUGCUGAGGUUGACUUUGGACUUGAGAUCCUACUGCCUCAGCCUCCUGAGCCACUGGGAUUACAGUUGUGUGCCACUGCACCAGGCAUGAGGGUGAUUUACCACAGAGUGCUGUGGCUUGCUGGGACUGUGCUUCUGGCCUGUGUUGGCCUUGAGUUGUUGGAGUUCAUGUCAGACGGCAACUCCAGAGGCUAAGGGCACUGCUAUGGUUUGAAUAAGUGUACCCCAGGGCCCGUGCUGAGGGCUCAGUGGUCACCAGGGUGCACCUUGGGAGGUGGUGGGACAUUUGGGAGGUGGGGCCUAGUGAGAGGUGUGCCCUUGAAGAAGAUUGUGGGAGCCCAGUCUCUUUCCUCUUUUCUUUUUUGCUUCCUGGUUUGUGAUGUAAAUGGUUUUACUUUGCCACUUGCUGCCUCACCACAGGCCCAGAGCCAUGAGCCCAACCAGUCAUGAUCCAACCAGACUGAAACCUUCAAAACUGAGCCAAAACCAGUCUUUUCUCUACAUUAGUUGAUGAUCUCAGGCAUUCCGUUACAGUGCUGGAAAGCUAACCAGGCAGGUCUGUGAGAGGCCUAUGCUUGUGUCCUGGAUGAGUGUGCCAACAUUCCAGGUAUUUUUGGUUGGCACUCAGUUUAGGAACUUCCCACAGAGAUUAAGGGAUGCCAGAAUUUAAAAAUUGAUAACUCACAUUUAUAAUUUAUGGUGGAUCUUUUUUCAGUGAUGCUGGACACUGGGAACUUUGGUGGGAUGAAAAUAGAAUUAAAAUCAAGUCAUGGGAGUGCAUUUACAUAGGCAAAUUCUUUAUUUGGUUCUCCCCUGCGGAAGGGAGGCCUGGCUCCUGCAAGAAAAUGUCAGGCGGCUCUCUAGAGCAAUAAAAAAAGACAGUUUUAUUGUCUGUGGUGAAGUGGGGUUCAGGAAUGUCGUCCUGAAACGCUAAGUGAAAGUUGCCCUGGUGAGCACAGGGACCACACCUAUGAUCCCAGUGACAGGCUGAGACAGGAGGGUCACAAAUUUGAAGCCAGCUUAGCAACUCCGUGAAGUCCAAAGCCACUAAGACUUGGUCUCAAAAAUAAAAAGAGCUGGAGAUAUAGUUCAGUGUAAAGCAUUCCUGGGUUCAGUCCCCCACAAAAUUCAGUUCCCCGGCUCCACUGAUGCGUCUGGCCCUGUCCGAGGAUGCAUAAGUGAGGCACGUUGAGAACUAGGGUGGGACCUUCUCGUGGUUGUCAGACCAUAAGCCAAGGUCCAGGAGCUGUUUGCCCAUGGAGGGGCAGCAGCAGGACAUGUGUAGAGGGCACACAUACCAAGGAGGGCAGCAUUGCAUUUUUCAAGAGGAGGGCAUGUCUGAGUUGAGCAGGAAACCAGAGGGAGGAAGAGACAUCACUUAACCAGAGAGGGCUUUCAAGAUGGUCCAGAAUUCUCUGUGGAAUUUGGACUUUCUUUUCCACCCAGUCCAGCAGGGACUUCUGCAAAUCAGGAGCAUUCGACAAGGUCGAGGCUAGAGAGGGCCCAACGGGAGCCUCCAUCUUCUCUGCCUGUAGCUGAGAACUUCUGCUGUGUGAGAAGUCAAGGGACAGAUCUCUGUGACUUUGAAGCAGAGUGGUGACACCAUCAGAUAGUUGUGUGAGGAAGGAAUCCCGUGUGCUCAGGGCUAGAGCAGAGGCCGUUCAGGUUGCCUUCCUGGGAGCGGCACAGGCAGCUGCAUCGGAAGCAGAUAGCCCACCUGCUCGGCCACUGCCAAGUCGCCUGCACCCCCAGUGCUUUCUGCAGUCUAGUUUGUAUCUGGGUGUUUAUGAAAGUUGCUUUUCCACACGUCCUCAGCAGCCUCAAGCACAGUGGCAUUUAGGCCAGUGUUUUGUCUCUGUGAGGCUGGGAACCUUCUUUGUAUUGGGAUGAGGGGACAGGGAAGUUAAUUUGGGGAUCUGAGGCCUUCAGUAAUAGGAUGGAAAUGACUUUGUUUAUCUUCUGAUUGAGGCAAAAUAGCAUAAGAGAGCUGGGUGCCAUGGUGCGUGCCUGUAAUCCCAGCUACUUGGGAGGCUGAAGCAGGAGGAUUGCAAGUUUGAGACCUGUUUAAUGAAAUCCUCUCUCAAAAACUUUUUUUAAAAAAUAUUUUUCAUUGUUGAUGGACACAAGACCUUUAUUUCAUUUACUGAUUUUAUGUGAUGCCAAGAAUUAAAUCCAGUGCCUCACACGUGAUAUGCUUCAAGCACUCUACCACUGAGCUACAACCCCAGCCUUCAGAACUUUUUUAAGGUACUGGUCAUGUAGCUGACAGGUAGAGCGCUCUUGGGUCAGUCUCUAGUACACACACACAAACACACACACACAGCAUUAAGAUUGAGGUUUUCUGCAGGCUGGUUACAACCGCUGCCUCUGGCCCCCUCUCUUGUCCACCUUGCUGUCCUCAUCUGUAGGAUGAAGAUGGGAGUUCCUGCCUCAGGGGACACUGUGAGGAAAGCUGUGUCUGAAACAUUUAGCGGGGUGUUUGGUACAUGGCAACUGCUCAGUAAAUAUUGUUAAUAAUCACAGAAAGUAACACAUGCUUAUAAAAAAUAUAGGAAAGUAUAAGGAAAACAGAUCACCUUUGUGCUACCACCUGUUUACAGUCCAAGUCCAUCUGUCUAGGUGGUCCUCUGUUGGUGCAGGUGCACAGUGGUGAACUUACUUCCUGUAUGCACAGAAGCAAGUAAUCUUGGAACAGGAAAACAAGGAGCCUAAUAUGCUCUCUCGUGGGCGCCAAAUCUGCCGCGCGAAUAGCACGCUAGCUUCAUACUAGAGGUUCCAAACAUAGAAGUUAACUAGUGAGAUCAAAUUAAAGACACAUAAAACUCAAUUUACCUUUUUCUUGCCCAGUUAAGAGACGGCUUCUCCCCGCUCCUACCUCUAGCCACCUGAUGUGGUAGCGAGGUUUACACAAGAGACCAGCAGGAGAGAGGAAGAAGCACGCCAGAGAGUGGGCUUUUAUUGGGGAACAAAAAACUUGGGAAAAUUCUAUCCAGUGAAGGUCGAGGGGGACAGCAUUCCAAUCAGUGAUUGGUUUCCAGGUCAAUGGUCAGUCACACCCCCACACGGACAAGCCCUUGCACCCGGAAAGGGUGGGGAAGGCUCUGACACAGCUGGUCUGAGCGCCUCACACCCAGUCAGGCAGGUAGCUUAAUCAUGUGCGAGAACGGCUUCCCACACUAAGAUAGGAAAAAACAUUGUUUUCUUUCCAUAUUCAUGCUACUCUCAAGACAUUUUGACACCAAAUGUGUGGGGUUUUCCCCACAGGAACGAUUCUCCAGCACAAACUGGGUGACCUACAAUUCAAUUCAGUUCUGACACAGUCGGAUUAAGGUACUUUAGGAACACUAGGUAUCACUCUGGUUUGAACAUGAGACAUAAUAGGACCCCUUUAGAUCCAGGAUUGCUCUGAGGGCUCCAUGCCAGCCUCCCUAGGCCCUCUCCCACAGCAGGAGGAGGAUGUGGGAAGAUAGACCACCUGCACCUGUUUUCCCCAGAACCCCCUCUGAAGCCAGCCCUGAGCUCCUUCCAGGUGUCUCAUCUAGAUCUCAGCUUCCAAGGGCCAAGCAUAUCCAAAGGCUGGCCAACAGGUGGUGUUUGUGGGAAGAAAGGACACGGUUCCGAGAGGUAGGCUGCUGGGGUGUCUACUGGGGGAUGUGUGAGGUUCUUUUGCAAUGGAAGAGCUGCAGGUGGGAAGAGAAGGGAGGCAGGCGGUGAGUGGGUCUGGAACUCUUCCCAUGUCACCAUCUCUUGGUGUUGAUCUCUGAGUGUCCAAGAAUUUCCUGUCAAUCUGACCUUCCAGAUCAUUAUGAAAAUGUUACAUCAAGAUAGAAGCAAGGAGUGUUACCCCAAAAAACCUAAAUAAACCCUCUAGCUUCACUUUCUCUUAAUUGACUUAAAAAUCACUAAUUUUUCUGGUCACAUAGCUGGGCAACACUAUGUUAAUCUUUCACUUGCUUCACACAGUCACAAUGGUGGUGAUAGUAGCCUGGGUUAGUUUUCUGGGACUAAGGAAUGCUGAUCCUUGGCUUGGGCCCAAGAGUGGGUCUGUCUUCACAGGAAGUUUGUCCCUUCUGCAGCCUUAACCUUUGGGUUGAAAAACCAGCCUCUAUCUCAGAGCAAAGCCUGUCCAAGGAAGGGACAUGGCCUUUGUCCUUGGAAAAACCCACAGAGCACUCCUAAGCACAUUCCCACCCUGCUAAGUUGUUUAUCUACAAAUAACAGGAGAGAUCUACUGAGCCAGAUGUCCCUGACUCCGUCAGGAUAGGUGGGGACCCAUAGCAGCCACCUAGCAGCCACCAAUCAGCAUGAGAAAGGGAAAUACCUGGGAUGCCAGAUGACCCUCCCAGUAGUUUAUGGUGGUUGAUAACAUGUUGGGAAACCAUGUAGUUCAGCACGUCCUCCCCUCUUGGCUUAAACCAAUCAGUUCAAAUGAAUACCCCUUUUGUACUGACCAAUCACCCCUACCCAACUUGUUCCCGCCAGUGAAUGCGCUAAUCAUGUUUUAGAGUUGUUAUUCGAUUUUCCUGCGGUGUGUGAUGAUUUGCUAAGAGAUGCUAUGAUGUAUGUGAAGUCCCUGCCCUCUCCAAAGAAUGUAUAAAAAUGCUGCAAACCCUGGGCUCGGGGCCUCUCAGCGUCACCAGUUGCUGUGUGUGUGCGCGGAGGACCGAGCUAGCUCGCAAUAAACACCUCUUUGCUGCUUACAUCGAUCUUGGGUCUCUGGUGGUCUUUGGGGGUCCCGAAUUCGAGC